UACGAAGGGGGCUAGCGUUGUUCGGAAUUACUGGGCGUAAAGGGCGCGUAGGCGGCGUGUCAAGUCAGGCGUGGAAGCCCCGGGCUCAACCUGGGAACCGCGCUUGAGACUGGCAUGCUCGAGUUCGGGAGAGGAUGGUGGAAUUCCCAGUGUAGAGGUGAAAUUCGUAGAUAUUGGGAAGAACACCGAUGGCGAAGGCAGCCAUCUGGACCGACACUGACGCUGAGGCGCGAAAGCGUGGGGAGCAAACAGG
Molecule: ribosomal RNA, 253 nt
Filed under: uncultured bacterium
Lineage: Bacteria
Description: partial 16S ribosomal RNA
Rfam family: Bacterial small subunit ribosomal RNA
Source: RNAcentral